CAUCAAAGUAACAAAAUGAUUGCCAUUUUAAUUUUCUGUUGCCUUGCAGGUUUUUCUCUGGGGAUCGACAUCCACCAGUUUCCCUCGAACAUCGUCAGCAACACCAGUGAAGAUGUUCAGCUUUUCUGCUCACACAACCAGUCAUCGUACAGAGUCGUCCUCUGGUACCAGAAGACUCCUGGAGACCAGGCUCUGAACCUCAUCGGAUAUGGAUACGGACAGAUCAGCAACGACAGCGUGGAGGAAAAGUUCAGGAAACAUUUUCGGUUAGGUGGAGAUUUAGCGGCAGCCAAGAAGAACCUCUCUCUUUCCAUCGCCGGUCUGAAAGCCGAACACACGGCGACGUACUUCUGUGCUGCAAGCUCUGGUGGUGGAGCUGAAGCUUACUUCGGAGCGGGAACAAAGUUAACGGUUUUAGACAUAAACAUCGAAAUCACUCCCCCGACUGUGAAAGUUCUCCCACCUUCAGAAAAACAAUGCAAAGACAAAACAGGGAAGAAGAAGAAGACCCUGGUCUGUGUGGCCUCUGGUUUCUACCCAGACCAUGUCAGCGUGUCCUGGAAGCGCAACAACCUGGAAAUAAUUGAUGGUGUGUCGACCGACGCCGCCGCCAAGAAGGAUGGAGAUUAUUACAAAAUCACCAGCCGGCUGAUGGUCCCCAUCAGGGAUUGGCUUAAGCCGGACAUUGAAUUUAAGUGCAUCGUCAGCUUCUUUAAUGGGACCACUAACAUCGAAAGAAAUUAUAAUAUAACAACAAAAGCUGCAGAUAAUCCAGGCAUGACUCGAGAGAACUACAUAAAGAUCAGCCAGAACGCCAAACUGUCCUACAGCCUCCUGAUCGUGAAGAGCUGCCUCUACGCCGCCUUGGUCUGCCUUCUGGUCUGGAAGCUUCAGGGAAAACGUGGAAAGCAGACCAAGUGAGAGCAGAGCUGACGCUGUGAAUCUUCCUCCUUGUACAUAAUAAUCCUGAUCUGCUGU
Xiphophorus maculatus (southern platyfish) is the source of this 978-nucleotide non-coding RNA. The record is from the annotation of a RefSeq genome assembly. NCBI's taxonomy places the organism in Eukaryota, Metazoa, Chordata, Actinopteri, Cyprinodontiformes, Poeciliidae.